This 334-nucleotide ribosomal RNA is filed under the name uncultured bacterium. RNAcentral's name for it is "bacterial SSU rRNA". It matches the Rfam family "Bacterial small subunit ribosomal RNA", at positions 29 to 354 of the family's 1533-position model. The record is from RNAcentral.
AGUGAACGCUGGCGGCAUAUCUUACACAUGCAAGUUGAACGGCAGCAUGAUCUAGCUUGCUAUAAUUGUCAGCUAAGUGGCGCACGGGUGAGUAAUAUAUAGGUAACAUGCCCUUAAGUGGGGGAUAACAGUUGGAAACGAUUGCUAAUACCCUAUAUGCCUUUUGUACGUAAGUAUGUAAAGGGAAAGAUUUAUUGCUUAAGGAUUGGCCUGUACGGUAUCAGUUAGUUGGUGAGGUAAUGGCUCACCAAGACGAUGACACCUAACUGGUUUGAGAGGAUGAUCAGUCACACUGGAACUGAGACACGGUCCAGACUCCUACGGGAGCAGCAUG